CGGGUGAGUAACACGUGGGUGACCUGCCCUUAGCUCUGGGAUAAGCCUGGGAAACUGGGUCUAAUACCGGAUAUGACUCAUGACGCAUGUUGUGGGGUGGAAAGCCUUGUGCGGCUAGGGAUGGGCCCGCGGCCUAUCAGCUUGUUGGUGGGGUGAUGGCCUACCAAGGCGACGACGGGUAGCCGGCCUGAGAGGGCGACCGGCCACACUGGGACUGAGACACGGCCCAG
RNAcentral lists this ribosomal RNA (230 nucleotides) under uncultured bacterium. RNAcentral's name for it is "partial 16S ribosomal RNA". It matches the Rfam family "Bacterial small subunit ribosomal RNA", at positions 103 to 334 of the family's 1533-position model. The record is from RNAcentral.